UGAAGUCUUUGUAUUUUAGGGGUUUUAGUUCUAGGUAGGAAAAGUAAUUUUUUAGUUUUUUUUUGUAUUAUAGAUUUUUGAAGCAGGUAUUAUUGAGGAGCAGUUUUGGAGGCAAAAAAUUUUUUUAAUAGUAAUAUGUAGGUAUGUACCUUUGGUAUCAGGGUGUGUUAACAUUUUUAAUGUAUUUUUAUAUCCCGAAAGAGAAUGAGUUACAUAGUUAGUCUUUUAUUGUGGUAGAAAUAGGAGUAAUAGCUAUAGUAGUAGUGAGAUGCUAUCCGUAUUUUUAGAUAUCUGGGUUCCUAGAAAUCAUGGAGAUGGCCAUCAGUUUAUUUGUUAAGCUGGUAGGAASGUUGUUAGGGCUAAGCUUAACAUUCUAUUUCUAUAUUAGUAUUUAGUUGAAGUUAAAUUAGGCUUAAAAGUAGCUAUGUGUUUUAUAACAUAUUUUUGUUUUGUGCUAUUAGUAAGGUAUAUAGGGGUUUUUAUAACUUGUUAUAGAGAGUAACAAUGAUAUAAUUAGUAGAGUUAGUUUUAGGUUUUUAGUUUAAGUACAUAUAUUGAUGUAUAGAUUUUUAGGGUAUUUAAAAGGAACUCGGCAAAAUGAUUUUUUAACUGUUUAUCAAAAACAUUUCCUUAAGGGUGUAUUUAAGGUAAGUUCUGC
RNAcentral lists this ribosomal RNA (658 nucleotides) under Protolophus tuberculatus. Its description in RNAcentral is "partial 16S ribosomal RNA". Lineage: Eukaryota; Metazoa; Arthropoda; Arachnida; Opiliones; Protolophidae. The record is from RNAcentral.